AAAUAUUGUGUAAUUGUGUCUUGCAUUAUAAUUUAUAUUGAUUUAUACAACUUCUUAUCCGUCCAUUACCUGCUUUGUAUAUACAGACAACUUCCAUUGCUUGGCUUUAUUAGCACAUGAAUUUUUUGUGUUUGGAAAACCAAGCAAAUUGUAUAACUGUGUGUUCGUUUGACUCCCAUGUUAACAGAAAAAGUGCAUGACUGUGCUUUUUAUUGGAGUUGACCUGCAUCUUUCCAUGCACCAGAAUCUGAGGAAGAUUUUGGAGAAAUUAUGACCAAUAGAGAUAUAAUUUUCUCUAGUCUAGUGCUCAUUGCCGAGGAAUUGAAGGUUCCAACAGCUUGAAUUCUUUGACUAGGUUUACAUUCUUCUUUCAGCUAAGGCAAUUCACAGUUCACACACAGCGUUUGUGUUCAAGAGAAUCAGAUUUGUUUUGCCUCGGGAAGCCAUUUUUGUUUGCAGGGAUUAGAAAAAUUCAUUGUAUUUCACAGCAAAAAGAAAAUUGCAUGUUCCAAGGAGGUCUCAUGUUGGUCAAAGCAAGCUGUUAUCCUGUAAAGCAUUCAAUUACAACCGUAGGGCUGGUGAAUUUAAGGCUUGGGGUUGAAGGUAUUUUCAGUGUCCAUAAAGGAGGGUGCAGGAGCUGUAUAUUACUUAGCAAGCCUGAAGAUUAGCUGCUUUUUCAUUGAACCAUAUGGUGCAGAAAAUAGAUUUGUUUGUUGAGGUGAUGGCUUCUGCAAAUUGUUCUUCCUCAUCGUUAGGGAAGAGAAAGCAAAGAAAUGAUUUUGUCAGUGAUUUUAGUACAAAACUAGAAGUGGUAACAACAUAUUCAGUAGGGAAUGCAACAGAGAUCCCCAGUGGCUUGGCACCCAUUAUAUUCAAUUCAUCUUGCAGAUCUGAGACAGAAAAGAAGUUUGAAGAAGAAGAAAGGUGUGUGACACCCAAGUCUGAGGAACACAAGAUACACUCCAUGACAAUGUGCCCUCCUGCACCUCGCAAACCCAAAUCAGCUCCUCUAAAGAGAAAUCCUGCAAUUAUAUCAAGUCGUAGAGCAAUUCAUAUUCCUUCAGUUUCUCCUGAUUUGGACUUACUUUUCUGUUCAGAUCUGAGCAAAUAUCACCAGCAUCAGAAGAAGAAGCACAAAAAGAAAGAAAGCAGUUCAAGUAUGAGAAAAGAUAGCCAAAAAUAGAUAGAUCUUCGGAUAGUAUCUGCCCAUGUAACCGCAAUAGAUCAGAACUGGUGGUCUUGGUGACAAAUUUUAUUUUUUUUCUUUUAUGGGGGUAAUGUUCAUUAUCCAGGAGAGUACUGUAACUAAGCUUUGUUGUACUUGCUGUCCUACUGUAUAUCUUAGAUUUGUGUUCUUAGAUUUGUGUUCCUCAAGGGGAGUCUAUAUGGGCCACGGCUAUUCUAGCUCCAAAACAGAUCUUUCGUACAGAAUGUUAGUAACAAGUUAGUCAAUCGCAAAAUCGACAGUGUAAAACGCGCGACGUGUUAGUCAAUCUGUACUGUCUUUUUGGAAGCAGAAUAGACGUGUCCGUCUGCAUGUCUGCUGCUCAAUAAAAUUUAAGAUUCAGUGCCUAUCACAGUGGGAUCAAUCUUUUUUGUCA
Molecule: long non-coding RNA, 1601 nt
Organism: Cryptomeria japonica (Japanese cedar)
Lineage: Eukaryota; Viridiplantae; Streptophyta; Pinopsida; Cupressales; Cupressaceae
Exons: 2
Source: RefSeq, a predicted model, not a curated record